GGGGAGGCUGUGGUUGUUGCUGCCAGCGGCGGCUCCGCCAUGGCCAGAAAUCGAGGGAGGCCACGGAGAUCACGGAGGCCGCCGUUGCCAAGGAGGAGGCGAUGCGGACGUCGCCGGUGAGGGAGCAGCGAGAGCUGUGAGACGGAGUGGUGGCUUGUCGCUGCCAUUUCGCCGGGAGUUAGAGUGACGGCGCGAGUUGGGGAGCUAGGGCUCCGAUUCGCGGCGCCUCUUCGUCGACCAGAAUCGGAGCAAUAGAUGAGGGAGAAGAGAGAGUCGACGGGAGGAGCGACUGACGAAGGCGGUGACUUCGGGAGAGAGAGAGAGAGACGAACAGAUCGAGAGAGAGAGAGAGAAGAAAGGGUCGGCUCUUCCAGAGAGAGAAAAGUGAGAAACGAGAAUUCAGAGAGAGAGUGAACCGAGUGGGAGAGAUAAGGAGGACUUGGGCUUCUCUUUGAUAGAUUUGGGCUUUGUUAUUUAUUUUCAUUUGGGCUCUUUUAUUGUAAUUGGGCCUUUCUCUUUUAAAUUAUGAAUUGGGCCUCUGAUUUUAUUUAUAUGGGCCGAUUUUAAAUUAUGAAUUGGGCCUCUGAUUUUAUUUAUAUGGGCCGAUUUUAAUUACUGAUUGGGCCUCUGAAUUUAUUUAUAUGGGCCUUUGAUUAUUCACUUAAUUGGGCUGCUGUAUCAUUUCAGUUGGGCCUUAGUUAUUUUAUUUCAGUUGGGCCUUAUUUAUUUUACUCAGAUGGGC
Molecule: long non-coding RNA, 742 nt
Filed under: Salvia miltiorrhiza (redroot sage)
Lineage: Eukaryota; Viridiplantae; Streptophyta; Magnoliopsida; Lamiales; Lamiaceae
Description: long non-coding RNA (SMIL_LNC004520)
Source: RNAcentral